CAGCCGCCGCGGUAAUACGUAGGGUGCGAGCGUUAAUCGGAAUUACUGGGCGUAAAGCGUGCGCAGGCGGUUUUGUAAGACAAGCGUGAAAUCCCCGGGCUCAACCUGGGAAUGGCGCUUGUGACUGCAAAGCUAGAGUGCGGCAGAGGGGGAUGGAAUUCCGCGUGUAGCAGUGAAAUGCGUAGAUAUGCGGAGGAACACCGAUGGCGAAGGCAAUCCCCUGGGCCUGCACUGACGCUCAUGCACGAAAGCGUGGGGAGCAAACAGGAUUAGAUACCCGAGUAGUCCCUGUCUCUUAUAA
This 301-nucleotide ribosomal RNA is filed under the name uncultured bacterium. RNAcentral describes it as "partial 16S ribosomal RNA". It matches the Rfam family "Bacterial small subunit ribosomal RNA", at positions 509 to 809 of the family's 1533-position model. The record is from RNAcentral.